UGGGGUGUCUGGCGCAGGUGGCGCGGUGCCUGCCGUUCGCCCGAGAGGCGCCAGAUCCAGCCCGGCGCGCUCCAG
Molecule: transfer RNA, 75 nt
Filed under: Hydrogenophaga pseudoflava
Lineage: Bacteria; Pseudomonadati; Pseudomonadota; Betaproteobacteria; Burkholderiales; Comamonadaceae
Description: tRNA-Gly
Source: RNAcentral